This is a long non-coding RNA of Vicia villosa (hairy vetch), 1931 nucleotides long. RefSeq lists it as uncharacterized. The record is from RefSeq and is a predicted model, not a curated record. The transcript is spliced from 3 exons. Lineage: Eukaryota; Viridiplantae; Streptophyta; Magnoliopsida; Fabales; Fabaceae.
UGCAUAUCUCUGUUAUGGUAAUUUGUUAUUUCAUUUGUUUUUAAAUUUCACUUUUAUGUGACAUUAUGAGAAGAUUGUCAUUAUGAGAAGCGUCAUGUUGUAACCAAUAUGUUUGUUUUUACUUCAUCUACUUCUUCUCUGGUCCCUGCGUAAUUCCGUUGUGCAGGUUGUCGUAACUGUCGGUAUUGCUUUACAGGUUCUGCGUAUUAGUUCUCAAUGUUUCUGAAUUUCUAACAUGUACAAAUAAUAACGAGUUUCUGGUCUCAUUGUUGUUGCAGUAAGAUACUGGACAGGGUGGUUUCUAUGGAGUAUACUCUGAGGGAUGAUAGUGAGAGAGUUGAUUAAAGUUAUAGCAGUCCCAGAAGAGGAGGAGGUGGUAUCACAGGAGGUAACCCCUUUUCAUGGUGAUUUGAUUUUCUAUUUAAUGGUUAUUGAUGAGGAUUUCCUUGAAAUCUGUGGAAUGGAUGGUUCGUUUCCACCGGGUUUUAAAUGGGGAUCUAGAAUAGAGGUUCUCGAUUGGCUGACGUCGGUGUUAUCAAAGCAGCAUCUGCAGGGCAAUAGAAGUGCUUGCAGGUAAAAGGUUAUAGCUUAUCUCUGCAGUCACGCCGACAUCCCGGUAAAAGCUAGGCAUUACUUAAAAUCUACCUGACUAAUAUAAUCAUCUUAUCCAUAGCUUAUAUAUUUUAAGAAUUUAAGAAUGGGAAUUGAUCUUGGGAGUGAUCUCAAGAUGUUCGGUUUAAUUCCACAUUCAAGGAGUAAGUAAUGAUUGAAGUUUUAUGAUGUUUACUAAUUAUUUAUAAUGAACAUAAAUAGUAUUAUGGUUCCAUUUGUGUGACGAUGAUUGUUAGUAGCGACGGUCACGACAUCAUCAUCAUUGGAUACCGAAAUGGUAAAGAUGGCAAUAGCAGUAGGAGAGAGUUAUUGAGAUGCAGCUGAUGGCGUUGCAAUGACUGUUAUGUCGGCAUUCAAAAUAUUUUCCCCUAUUGAACGCGGUGCAUUGUGAGUUUCUCUAUGACCAACACUUGGCUCUAAGCAAAUUUACAUUCGCACUCACAUUCAUAAUUGCUGAAAGGUUGAAGAAAUGAUUGGUUAAUGAGCAUGUGAAACAAGCCAAAGGGUUAAAUUUUGGCAUAAAUGUGUUUAGAUAAUCCUAUGAUGUUUUUUUGUUAUUUAUGAUCAUUUGUAGAGUUUGUUAAUCUUCCAGAGCAUUUCUAUGCAGCUCUCAUUUCAAGAUUUUUGUGUACCUAUACAGCGAGGACCAAUUUAUAGUCUCAUUAGCGAAAGACAUCAAAAUUGUGAGAACUCUUCCGAUAUAGAGAAAGGGUGCAAGAAGAAAAAAGGAGAUUCUGGUGUUUAAAGUUUGGUAUUCAGCAUCACCUUUUUAAUACUUGCAUCAUGAUCUCUCUAUAUUAUAGAAGCAUUCAGUGGUUGAACUAGAAUUAGUGUCUUUAGUAUUUCUAACAAUUAGUGUUAGUUAUAUUUGUUAUGUAUUGUCGUGUUACAUUGAUGAUAAUGUUCGACUUUUCAUACUUAGUGUGGUCAUGCCAAGUCUUGAUUUUGUAGUAUGUGAAAUUUGUGUUGCGUGGGAAGUUUUUGUUGAUAACCUGGUGUUAUUUGUUUUAUGUAGUUGAUGAGAUGUUUCUGUAAAUUCUGAGUUGCGUGAGAGAUUAGUAGACAGGUAUGGUGGGUUGCUGCUAUGUGUUUCGUAUUGAAGAAGAGACACAUUAUCAUAUCACUGAUGAGCGUAAAGCAUUAUAUAAAGCUACUGAACAAUGUAAAAAAUGUCAAUAGAUGGUGUGUUGGAGAAGUAUUCAAUGAUGGUGUGUUGUUCUGGUUCAACUUCGAGGAAGGAUGUGUAUUUGUUUGAUUAAAUCUUAUUUUGCACUUGCGGUCCUUUUUCAAGGUGUAUUGGAUUUUCUUGCUUUGAAACG